This 242-nucleotide long non-coding RNA is filed under the name Lathyrus oleraceus (garden pea). RNAcentral's name for it is "Pisum sativum (pea) long non-coding RNA (PSAT_LNC003358)". The record is from RNAcentral. Lineage: Eukaryota; Viridiplantae; Streptophyta; Magnoliopsida; Fabales; Fabaceae.
UCAGAGAAUGUAAGAUUUUGAAUUCGAACGUUUCUAAUGUUGUUUUUUAGAAUAAUUAACAUUGUAGGAUGUAUAUGAUAUCACAUAUAGUUUCUUUUACAAAGAAAUGGUUCUUUCUUUGUAUGAAAUUCUAGUUGAAUAUUUUUCCUAAUUAACGAGCUUUUCAUUUGGUUUUUUGAGAUAUUUUUUUUAACGAGAUUGAAGUAAGCACUUUAUAUUUGAACAAUUGAAUAUUCAUAUAA